RNAcentral lists this long non-coding RNA (1001 nucleotides) under Carassius auratus (goldfish). Its description in RNAcentral is "lncRNA (ENSCARG00000031970.1)". The record is from RNAcentral. Lineage: Eukaryota; Metazoa; Chordata; Actinopteri; Cypriniformes; Cyprinidae.
GUAUGGUGGAGCUGAGGGCGAGAUUCAUCAAAUUAAUCACCCUCCGCCAAGAGGGGAAUGAGGUGGGUGGUAUGGCACAAGUGUUCUGGACCCUGGUGGCUGGAAUGGGAUAUAAUGAUGCGGCCCUGAAAGACAUUUUCAACACCGGUCUGGAUGACCCGGUGCCAAGAAAGGAAAUGGAUCAGUUGGACGCUUCUGAUUUCUGGGAAUUCGUUUUCUACCUACAACAUCAGCCUCCGUGGGAUACCCCAGCCACACCUGUCUCUCCCGCCAGCCCAGCACCACUGCACAGUAUGGCCGCCAGCCCAGCGCCACAGCACAAGUUGGUCGCCGGCCCAGCGCCACAGCACAAGUUGGUCGCCGGCCCAGCGCCACAGCACAAGGUGGUCGCCGGCCCAGUGCCACGCCGCAAGGUGGCCGCCAGCCAGCACAAGUUGGUCGACUGGCCCAGCGCCACAGCACAAGGUGGUCGCCAGCCCAGCACCACGGCGCAAGAUGGCCGCCAGCCCAGCACCACACCGCAAGAUGGCCACCAGCCCAGUGCCACUGCACAAGUUGGCCGCCGGCCCAGCACCACUGCACAAGAUGGCCGCCGGUCCAGAGUCAUGGCACAAUAUGGACGCCUGUCCAGCGACUCUGCACAAGUUGACAGCCACAGUUGACCCUCCAGAGUCGAGUCAGGUUCCCAUUGACCCUUCAGAGUUGAGUCAGGUUCCUGUUGACCCUCCAGAGUUGAGUCAGGUUCCCGUUGACCCUCAUCAGUUAAACACUACCAAAGUUAGACCUCAGGAGUCAAGUCAAGUCACCGGUGAUCUUCAAGUACAAAGUCAAGUCACCGGUGUUCUUCAUGGGCAAAGUCAAGUCACCGACUAUCUUCAUGGGCAAGGGCCAUUGAUCUUCAUGAGCAGAGUCAGGUCACCAUUGAUGUUCCUGAAUCCAGUCUAAACACCACGGAACUACCAGAGCCUCUCCACAUCUCUGCCGAACUACCAGAGCCUCUC